GAUGAAGAACGCAGCGAAAUGCGAUAAGUAGUGUGAAUUGCAGAAUUCAGUGAAUCAUCGAAUCUUUGAACGCACAUUGCGCCCCUUGGUAUUCCAUGGGGCAUGCCUGUUCGAGCGUCAUUUGUACCCUCAAGCUCUGCUUGGUGUUGGGUGUUUGUCCUCUCCUCUGCGUUUGGACUCGCCUUAAAGCAAUUGGCAGCCAGUGUUUUGGUAUUGAAGCGCAGCACAUUUUGCGAUUCUAGCCGAUAAUACUUGCGUCCAUAAGCCUUUUUUAACUUUUGACCUCGGAUCAGGUAGGGAUACCCGCUGAACUUAAGCAUAUCAAUAAGCGGAGA
Molecule: unclassified non-coding RNA, 335 nt
Filed under: soil metagenome
Description: partial contains 5.8S ribosomal RNA, internal transcribed spacer 2, and large subunit ribosomal RNA
Rfam family: 5.8S ribosomal RNA (bases 1-120)
Source: RNAcentral